GACGAACGCUGGCGGCGUGCCUAAUACAUGCAAGUAGAACGCUGAAGGAGGAGCUUGCUUCUCUGGAUGAGUUGCGAACGGGUGAGUAACGCGUAGGUAACCUGCCUGGUAGCGGGGGAUAACUAUUGGAAACGAUAGCUAAUACCGCAUAAGAGUAGAUGUCGCAUGACAUUUGCUUAAAAGGUGCAAUUGCAUCACUACCAGAUGGACCUGCGUUGUAUUAGCUAGUUGGUGAGGUAACGGCUCACCAAGGCAACGAUACAUAGCCGACCUGAGAGGGGGAACGGCCACACUGGGACUGAGACACGGCCCAGACUCCUGCGGGAGGCAGCAGUAGGGAAUCUUCGGCAAUGGACGGAAGUCUGACCGAGCAACGCCGCGUGAGUGAAGAAGGUUUUCGGAUCGAAAAGCUCUGUUGUAAGAGAAGAACGAGUGUGAGAGUGGAAAGUUCACACUGUGACGGUAACUUACCAGAAAGGGACGGCUAACUACGUG
RNAcentral lists this ribosomal RNA (495 nucleotides) under uncultured bacterium. Its description in RNAcentral is "partial 16S ribosomal RNA". It matches the Rfam family "Bacterial small subunit ribosomal RNA", at positions 28 to 507 of the family's 1533-position model. The record is from RNAcentral.